GAUGAACGCUAGCGGGAGGCCUAACACAUGCAAGCUGAGCGGUAGAGAUCUUUCGGGAUCUUGAGAGCGGCGUACGGGUGCGGAACACGUGUGCAACCAGCCUUUAUCAGGGGGAUAGCCUUUCGAAAGGAAGAUUAAUACCCCAUAAUAUAAUGAGUGGCAUCACUUAUUAUUGAAAACUCCGGUGGAUAGAGAUGGGC
This 200-nucleotide ribosomal RNA is filed under the name uncultured bacterium. RNAcentral describes it as "partial 16S ribosomal RNA". It matches the Rfam family "Bacterial small subunit ribosomal RNA", at positions 28 to 230 of the family's 1533-position model. The record is from RNAcentral.